Molecule: non-coding RNA, 46 nt
Organism: Schistosoma haematobium
Lineage: Eukaryota; Metazoa; Platyhelminthes; Trematoda; Strigeidida; Schistosomatidae
Source: Rfam
ACACUGCUGAGGAGUCCCACAAUAGGACGAAACGGCCUUCAAGUGC